Molecule: ribosomal RNA, 352 nt
Filed under: Salmonella enterica subsp. enterica
Lineage: Bacteria; Pseudomonadati; Pseudomonadota; Gammaproteobacteria; Enterobacterales; Enterobacteriaceae
Description: bacterial SSU rRNA
Rfam family: Bacterial small subunit ribosomal RNA
Source: RNAcentral
UUAAAUUGAAGAGUUUGAUCAUGGCUCAGAUUGAACGCUGGCGGCAGGCCUAACACAUGCAAGUCGAACGGUAACAGGAAGCAGCUUGCUGCUUUGCUGACGAGUGGCGGACGGGUGAGUAAUGUCUGGGAAACUGCCUGAUGGAGGGGGAUAACUACUGGAAACGGUGGCUAAUACCGCAUAACGUCGCAAGACCAUAGAGUGGGACCUUCGGGCCUCUUGCCAUCAGAUGUGCCCAGAUGGGAUUAGCUUGUUGGUGAGGUAACGGCUCACCAAGGCGACGAUCCCUAGCUGGUCUGAGAGGAUGACCAGCCACACUGGAACUGAGACACGGUCCAGACUCCUACGGGAG